Molecule: ribosomal RNA, 437 nt
Filed under: uncultured Oscillospiraceae bacterium
Lineage: Bacteria; Bacillati; Bacillota; Clostridia; Eubacteriales; Oscillospiraceae
Description: partial 16S ribosomal RNA
Rfam family: Bacterial small subunit ribosomal RNA
Source: RNAcentral
ACGGAAGGCAGCAGUGGGGAAUAUUGGGCAAUGGUCGAAAGCCUGACCCAGCAACGCCUCGUGAAGGAAGAAGGUCUUCUGAUUGUAAACUUCUUUUAUGUGGGACGAAGAAAUUGACGGUACCACAUGAAUAAGCCACGGCUAACUACGUGCCAGCAGCCGCGGUAAUACGUAGGUGGCAAGCGUUAUCCGGAUUUACUGGGUGUAAAGGGCGCGUAGGCGGGAUGGCAAGUCAGAUGUGAAAUCUAUGGGCUCAACCCAUAAACUGCAGUUGAAACUGUAAUUCUUGAGUGCUGGAGAGGUAGAUGGAAUUCCUUGUGUAGCGGUGAAAUGCGUAGAUAUAAGGAAGAACACCAGUGGCGAAGGCGAUCUACUGGACAGUAACUGACGCUGAGGCGCGAAAGCGUGGGGAGCAAACAGGAUUAGAUACCCUGGUA